This is a long non-coding RNA of Oncorhynchus gorbuscha (pink salmon), 662 nucleotides long. RefSeq lists it as uncharacterized. Lineage: Eukaryota; Metazoa; Chordata; Actinopteri; Salmoniformes; Salmonidae. The record is from RefSeq and is a predicted model, not a curated record. The transcript is spliced from 3 exons.
CAGAGGGAGGUGUGUUUCUCCGAGUCCCAAGCGAAGAAUUCACUCACUCAGUCCACGAUAUCUUGCAUAUUAGAAACGUCGGCGUAGGCUACAAGGCGGUCGUCAUAGAUUCCACCGUGGUUCUUGUAUGAGUGUGGAGAGAGAUUGGACUUCUCCCGCAGAUUGUGACAUCCACCGGUUGUGGGUUGUUUGCCUCGCGCUAAAACACACCGAUGGAGCUUUUCAAGAUAGAUCGAGGUUUGUUCUCUGUCAUGAUCUCCUGAAGAAAGAUAACGGAACGACUCUUAGAAAGGAGGAAGCCACUUUAUAUUCAUCUAUUGAUCUAUUAUCCCCGGUGCUUUUUGGUUCCCUGUCAAAGUUGUAAAGGAUCAGCUGGAAUGGAAAUAAUUCGCGUAUGUCUCCUGCCACGUCUGGACCGUUGUAAAAAGUCUCAAGAAAGAAUGAAGUAACCGCUAUGGAGCCGGACAAUGCCCCGUACUCCAAACUCAAAACAGCUGGAGUCGGGGGGAGAGCUCUGAUACUCUGGACUAUUCUCUAUAGUACCUGUUUUGUGGGACUAACACAAGCACACCCUGAAGAUGUGGACGUUCUACAACAGCUGGGGCUUACAGGGACGAGGACCGGAGGAGGUGUAUCGUCCACAGGGGCCCGCUUCGCACCCC